AUGGCCUUACUGGGCCAGUCUUCCAUUACAGCGAGGUCCAGUCCCGUGUGGGCUGUACCUCAGGAGAGGCGGCAGUGGCAUGACACCGUCAUAUUCAUCGGCGUCCUGGUUGAAGGUUUACAUAAUAGGCCACUGUAUGUGGCUACAUUGCAUAAUAGCAUCACCGAGAUCAAUCUUUUCCCUUGCUGUUUGCUUCUCAAGGAGGUGGCAAAGUCUAAAGGAAGGGUCGCACUCACAACAAAUAUGGUCAUAGGUGGCACUGUUACAGAUGAUUCAAGUGAUGAAUGGCUUGUUCUGGAUCAGAAGGUGAAUACAUAUCCCACAGACAGAGGAUUUACAGCAAUUGGUACUGGAGGUGAAGAUUUUGUCCAUUCUAUGGUUGAUGCUGUUGAAUCGGUUCUUCAAGAAUCGAUUCCAAAGGGCCAAGUAAGUCAGAAAAUAUCUUCUAGGGGAAAAUAUGUUUCUGUAAAAAUUGGGCCAAUACGCGUGGCUUCAAGUGAGCAGGUCCAGGCUGUAUAUCGCGCCAUGAGAAGAGAUAACAGGAUGAAAUACUUCUUAUGA
Molecule: ribosomal RNA, 561 nt
Filed under: Triticum aestivum (bread wheat)
Lineage: Eukaryota; Viridiplantae; Streptophyta; Magnoliopsida; Poales; Poaceae
Description: partial small subunit ribosomal RNA
Source: RNAcentral